Molecule: long non-coding RNA, 2175 nt
Organism: Syngnathus acus (greater pipefish)
Lineage: Eukaryota; Metazoa; Chordata; Actinopteri; Syngnathiformes; Syngnathidae
Exons: 2
Source: RefSeq, a predicted model, not a curated record
UUCUAUUUUUCAGUAUUUUGACUUUUUCCCCUCUAAAUAUUUGGUUUUUAGAAAUACCCAGCAUGCCACACACCAUACACCACUCUCAAAGCGUUACAAAUAUUUGAUAUAUGCAUUCAAAGCUGAGAAGUCAAAUUCAUUAUUUUCAGUUUAUCUAGAAAUUUCACCCACUUCCCCUGAUUUGUUUUUUUUGUGUGAGAGGUUUAUUUGACCCGCGCACGGGACAUUACGCACGCUCAUCGACACAGGUAGGUUUCCCACCCCUGCUCUAAAUAGGCUGAUUCCUCCAGUCGUAUCCACCUUUAUUUGAUUUGUUGAGUUUUGAGUCUUAUGUGUAUUUUGUUUCUUUUUUUGUUUUGUUUUAUUUAUGUUGAUCAUUACGUGUUCCAUCUGCUGACAUUGGGUCGACAGAUUUAUGGAGAAAGUCAGAACAAAAGAACGGAGGCACCUUUCAUGAGUCAUGUCUCAUUCACUAAGAAAAUGACUCACAGAUCGGCUUUUUGUUUACUUAUCUGUGGCGGGGAUCCUUUUCCACAGAACCCAGCCAAGGCAGGAUAUUUAAAUUCGGUAGGCAUGUUCAUCAUGGGUAGAACCACAAAACAUCUCAAAAGCCCCUGCCUGAAAAUAAAUAGGAAGUCAGCCAUUUUGGCUUGAAGCAGCCAUUUGAGGGUCUUUUUGGGCCAUUUCUAGGAGUUUUCCAGGACUUUUGCUUGAUUGUUACGCAUAUUAGACCAAAUUGCAACUCAUUCGUGUUUUCAUCAUUGCCUGUGGGAACAGUCGGCUUUACAGAUGAGUCCCCCCCACCCCCUGCCUGUGAAUUGUCGAAUACCUGUUGAUAUAUUAUGAGGUUACUCAUUGGGAGCACGAAAGGGGAAAAUAUUUUUUUGUUUACACUUUCAGCAGUGAAUAAAAGCGCAGCUAGCGUCGGUAAUUCAACGCACAUCAGUGAAGACAUGCAUGAGCCGGCACCCCAACGAAUCUCUGAAGAUUGCUUUAUCAUAUACAUCAUAUACAUCGUAUAUACUGUAAAUCUUGGCAUGUCCCAAUCGAUGACAAAUGUUACCAUAUCAUUGUUGCUGUUUUUUAAAAAAACAAGUUUGAAUGGUUAUUUAUCAGAUCUGUGCUCUUAAUGAGUCGUAUCCAUAGCAACAGCAUAAAAGUACUAUAUGCGUAAAUGUUUGUUGUAAAUGUCAAAAACGUUGUACAUUUGGAAGAUUGUAACAAGAUAAUUAAAAGAUGAUAGGUAGCGGGGGUACAUCUCUUUGAUUCUUUCUCAUCAGAAUUUUCGAAGUAUUUUAUGUUACGCUGAAUGCAGAGCCAUGAUAAAGCAUGAAUGCAAUACAAAUCCCAAACGGAACGUGUUGGCUACAAAGCUCUUUCACACAAUCUUGAUCCACAUUUCAGUCAUUUAUUUUCAAUGCAGCCUCAUUUUCAAGGUAAUGUAUGAGAACAUAUCAUAAAUAAUACUUUAGUGGGAUCUACUGUGAUCUAAAACUACCCAAUUUGGUAGUACAAUGGCCAGUGAGAAGUAAUGACACACUCGUGAAACAUAUCAAAUACAAUGCCUUUUUUUCAGUGGGUGAGUCAAGUUUAGAAAAAAACAACAACUCCGUACAUGAUGCUUGUGUCAGGUUUGAUUCAAGUGCAGUUAGAUAGAGUACGUCACAAAUAAGCAGCAAAUAUAAUACCUAGUUAAAAACAUGAUAAAACAUGACAUUUCCUGUCGAAUAAUCAAAACUUAACGUGUAGCAGUCCUUAUUGACUCCUUUUUAAAACAGUGCAUUAAAAGCCUUCAAAAAACACCUAGUUGUAUCCUAAAUACUUCACAGCGUCAAAGACCUCUGAAAGUCAAAAAUGUCAAAAUCUAGAAAAAUAAAUUGUACCCUCAAACGACUUGAGUUAUGUAAAUUGAUACGUGAAACAUCAUCAGUAAUGUAACGUUUUGCAUGGGUAAAGUUUGCGCCCUCAAACACUUCAUUGGUUACGUAAAAAGUCACAUCAAAUAUUGUAAAGCAAAUAGAUUUUUUUUUUUUUUUGAGCUAAAAUACCAGUAAUGCUAAAGCCAUGGUCUAAAGCAGUGGUUCGCUACUGUUGUUGCAAGGUCAUGACCCACUUUUAUAGAAGUUGAUACAAGAACUAUUUUUUGUUGUUUAAAAAUAGCCUUUGAAAAAAAAA